This 312-nucleotide long non-coding RNA is filed under the name Gossypium raimondii (Peruvian cotton). RNAcentral's name for it is "long non-coding RNA (GRAI_LNC008726)". Lineage: Eukaryota; Viridiplantae; Streptophyta; Magnoliopsida; Malvales; Malvaceae. The record is from RNAcentral.
GCUGACUUAGGGCAGUGGCAGUAGGGUGGCUGUCAGAGGCUAGGGUUUUUUUGUUUUUUUGAAAAAGUUUAGGUUUUGGGCUUGGUUUGGGUAUUGGGUCUGUUGGUAAUUUUGGGCUGUAAAUGGACUGUUUAUUUUUAUUUGGUUUGGUUUCUAUUUUGAGCCCGGGUAAAAUUGGGAUACUACAAUUAUCUUAAUAUUAAUUAUCCUAAUAUAAUUAAAAUAGAGUUUGACAAAAUAAAAUCUCUUUUUUUUUUUGCAUUUCAACCCUUGUGUCCUCCAUGCUUGCACUUUUGGCACCAACUUUCUUUG